UGUUAAGGAACUAGGCAAAUUGACCCCGUAACUUCGGGAGAAGGGGUGCCUACGAGAGUAGGCCGCAGAGAAUCGGCCCAAGCAACUGUUUACCAAAAACACAGGUCUCUGCUAAAUCGAAAGAUGACGUAUAGGGGCUGACGCCUGCCCGGUGCUGGAAGGUUAAGAGGAGGACUUAGCGGAAACGCGAAGGCCCGAAUUGAAGCCCCAGUAAACGGCGGCCGUAACGAUAACGGUCCUAAGGUAGCGAAAUUCCUUGUCAGGUAAGUUCUGACCCGCACGAAAGGCGUAAUGAUUUGGGCACUGUCUCAACAGCCCGCCCGGCGAAAUUGUAGUACCGGUGAAGAUGCCGGUUACCCGCAACUAGACGGAAAGACCCCAUGGAGCUUUACUGCAGCUUAAUACUGAGAUUCGGUAAAUCAUGUACAGGAUAGGUGGGAGACUAAGAAGCCAGGCCGUCAGGUUUGGUGGAGUCACCCUUGGGAUACCACCCUUGGUUUGCUGGGUUUCUAACCUGCGGCCCUGAAUCGGGUCGGGGGACACUGUUAGGCGGGCAGUUUGACUGGGGCGGUCGCCUCCUAAAAUGUAACGGAGGCGCUCAAAGGUUGGCUCAGCAUGGAUGGAAACCAUGCAAUGAGUGUAAACGUAUAAGCCAGCCUGACUGCGAGACCGACGGGUCGAGCAGAGACGAAAGUCGGAGUUAGUGAUCCGGUGGUAUGUGAGUGGAAAUGCCAUCGCUCAACGGAUAAAAGCUACCCUGGGGAUAACAGGCUGAUCUCCCCCAAGCGUCCACAGCGACGGGGAGGUUUGGCACCUCGAUGUCGGCUCGUCGCAUCCUGGGGCUGAAUUAGGUCCCAAGGGUUUGGCUGUUCGCCAAUUAAAGCGGCACGCGAGCUGGGUUCAGAACGUCGUGAGACAGUUCGGUCCCUAUCUGUUGCGGGCGUAGGAGAUUUGAAGGGAGCUGACCUUAGUACGAGAGGACCGGGUUGGACGUACCUCUGGUGUACCAGUUGUUCUGCCAAGGGCAUGGCUGGGUAGCUACGUACGGACGAGAUAAACGCUGAAGGCAUCUAAGCGUGAAACUCUCCCUGAGAUAAGAUCUCCACUGAGGCUCGACGUAGACUAUGUCGUUGAUAGGUCAGAGGUGAAAGUGCAGCAAUGCAUGCAGCUGACUGAUACUAAUAAGCCGAAAGCUUGACC
Molecule: ribosomal RNA, 1200 nt
Filed under: metagenome
Description: bacterial LSU rRNA
Rfam family: Bacterial large subunit ribosomal RNA
Source: RNAcentral